Molecule: unclassified non-coding RNA, 598 nt
Filed under: Bombus terrestris (buff-tailed bumblebee)
Lineage: Eukaryota; Metazoa; Arthropoda; Insecta; Hymenoptera; Apidae
Description: misc RNA ENSBTSG00005037108.1
Source: RNAcentral
AUUACCUGUAUUUCGGAUGUUACACUCGCGACACGUGAUAUUUGUGUACACUUUGUGACACAGUGACGAUCCCAAUUGUAGAUCGACACCUUAUACCUCUCUAACUAGGUUAAUUCACUUUAACGACCUGUACACGAACAUUACGCAGUCUACAUUUAUAAAAUGACUAAUUAAGUGACGAUCAAAUUUGCCUAGCAAUUACGUCGCCAUUAUUGUUCGUAAAAAAUUUACAUAACCUGUAUCUUCUUGACAACCAUAUACUAAAUUCAAUUUGUCAAACUCUUGAAAAAUAAAAGCGAGAGCCGGCGACAACGAUGUGGCAUUACUGGCGGGUACACAUGGAACGCGACCCUCGGCGGUCGAGCAAACAGCUGCCGUCUAGCCCCCACCAUACCGGACGCCCCCAUCGUUCCAGCACUUCGUUUUGACCGUACCCUUCUACAGUCUGCCUUUUUAUCAAUGAAGCUUGGACAUCCAAGCGAUUUCCUUCGUUAUGAAAAUUUAAUUAUUGCGAUCAAUUUUGGGAGAAAUAAAAUCGUUUGUUGUACGUGGUUAUACGCAUAUGGCUGCGUUUCAAAAUGGAUGUAUUUAUUAUAAA